GCGCGGGCGGGGGCGCAGACAGGUGACGCCGAGGGUGGGGCUGGAAGUGCGCAGGCAUCUUUGAGCAGAUUCAUCUAUCUUCCAACUAUAUUUCCUUGCUAUUGUGAACAGAAGAGCAAUAGACAUGAGCCAUGUGCUGGUUUUGAAUUUACUAUGUGAUCCAGGCUAGCAUCAAACCUAUAGUAAUCCUUCUGCUUCAGCCUCCCAAAUUCUGGGAUUGCAGGGCAUAUAGUACAUCAUCCUGGCUCACAUUGAGUCUCACUCGAAGUAGUAGGUCAUUCCUGCUGGGUUCCACCAGGAGGAGGCGGCAAGAACCCAGAUUUGAGCACACAGCCAUGGUCUCAGACAUGGUAGGAUAAGGCAGUCCCUCCAUCCUGCACAGAGCCACAUGUUGACUGUAUAUCUAAACAUCAAAAGUAAAGCAAAGGUUAAGAGGAACAAUAAUCCUGGGUUUGUAUCUGAUCAUUCAUCUUUUCCAAAACUUGGGUGCCUGGGGCUGGGUGGGUGAUGCUCUCUCAUCUUUAGUUCAAAAGUACUUUGGAGGCAAAGGCAGACAGAUAUUUAAGUUCCAUGACAACCAAGGCUACAAAAUAAGAUCCAGUCUCAAAACAAUCAGACACUUGGUACCUUAGAUACCAAAUGCCUCAUCAGUAGAUGCACUUGCGCCACUGCCAAGGAGUAGAAAAUAAGCUGUAGAAGAGGACACAGCACAUCUAACCCAGCUUUUCUGUAAUUUACCUAUGUGACACUGGGCAAAUCACUCCUCUCUUUCCUUCCUUCCUCUUACCCCUCUCCCCUCUUUCUUUUCUAGUCUUUUUGAGGCAAAAAGUCUUAGUCUGUAGCUCAAGGUGGUUUGCAACUCACCAUGUAGUUCAAUCUAACCUCAAACUCUUGGCAAUUCUCCUGCCUCAUUUUCCCGGUGCUGGGUUUACAAAUGUGAGUCACCAUGUGGCUACUUCAUGUUUUAAAGCAAAACUUCAGUUUACCUCAAGAUGUUUGCACGCAACUGAGCAAUAUUUGGAAUAGAGAACUAUUAAAGGUCCCUUCUGGGUUGUGUUAGUUGUUUGUUUUUACUUUUGGGUUUGUUUGUUUGUGACAGUAUCUCUCUGUAGCUUUGGAGCCUGUCCUGGAACUCACUCUGUACACCAAGCUGGCCUGCCUCUGACUUCUGAGUGCUGGGAUUAAAGGCGUGCACUACCACCUGGCUUGUUUGCUGUGUUUAAAAUGUCUCACAAACUCCAGGGUGGUGUCAAACUGGGUAUGUAGUCAAGGAUGAAUGAAUUUAGGAACCUCCUGCCUCUAUCUCAAAGUCCUGGGAUAACAGGCAUGUACCACCAUGCCUGGUUUAUGAUGUACUAAAGAACGGAACUGAAAUUUGUUCAUUCAAGGCCAAUACCUACUUUUUGAAGUAUAUUCUCAGCUCCGUUCCACAUAUUCUAAGUGUUGGCUAUCUAGAUACCUUAUAAUUUGCACCUUUGGACACUUCUGGGCACUUGGACUACUCUGGCAGCCCAGCCUGACCCCUUGAAGCUGGUGAGUGGCCACCUUCCCACCACACCUCUACUGGCUAGCCCCCCACUCCCAAGCCCCAAACGUCCCUAAAGGCCCUACCAGGAGGCUAAGAGAAUGGCCAGGCCCUGCCCUACAGAAAAGAAAAAAAAAAAAACCGACAAGCUUGCCCCAAGGUCAGGCCACCCUGGAAAGCCCUGUCCCAACUGCAUGUUCUGCCCAGUUCUCUGCUGCUGCUCAUAACAGAGGCAGCCACCCUUAUGGGGUUUCCCCUCACAAUAAAUCUCUUUGUGAUA
Molecule: long non-coding RNA, 1805 nt
Organism: Mesocricetus auratus (golden hamster)
Lineage: Eukaryota; Metazoa; Chordata; Mammalia; Rodentia; Cricetidae
Exons: 4
Source: RefSeq, a predicted model, not a curated record